CCUACGGGUGGCAGCAGUGGGGAAUAUUGGACAAUGGGCGAAAGCCUGAUCCAGCCAUGCAGCGUGUGUGAAGAAGGCCUUCGGGUUGUAAAGCACUUUCAGUGGGGAAGAAAGCCUUGGGGCUAAUACCCUCGAGGAAGGACAUCACCCACAGAAGAAGCACCGGCUAACUCCGUGCCAGCAGCCGCGGUAAUACGGAGGGUGCGAGCGUUAAUCGGAAUUACUGGGCGUAAAGCGCGCGUAGGCGGUCUGAUAAGCCGGUUGUGAAAGCCCCGGGCUCAACCUGGGAACGGCAUCCGGAACUGUCAGGCUAGAGUGCAGGAGAGGAAGGUAGAAUUCCCGGUGUAGCGGUGAAAUGCGUAGAGAUCGGGAGGAAUACCAGUGGCGAAGGCGGCCUACUGGACUGACACUGACGCUGAGGUGCGAAAGCGUGGGUAGCAAACAGGAUUAGAUACCCUUGUAGUC
RNAcentral lists this ribosomal RNA (465 nucleotides) under Vreelandella stevensii. RNAcentral's name for it is "partial 16S ribosomal RNA". It matches the Rfam family "Bacterial small subunit ribosomal RNA", at positions 338 to 795 of the family's 1533-position model. The record is from RNAcentral. Lineage: Bacteria; Pseudomonadati; Pseudomonadota; Gammaproteobacteria; Oceanospirillales; Halomonadaceae.